GACGAACGCUGGCGGCGUGCUUAACACAUGCAAGUGGAGCGACGAACCAGGGCUUGCCCUGGGGCAAAGCCGCGAACGGGUGAGUAACACGUGGGUAACCUGCCCUGAUGAUUGGGACAACCCGAGGAAACUCGGGCUAAUACCAAAUGUGCUCUCCAGCCUCAAGGCUGGUGAGGAAAGGUAGCUUCGGCUUCCGCAUCAGGAUGGGCCCGCGGCCCAUUAGCUUGUUGGUGAGGUAACGGCUCACCAAGGCUUCGAUGGGUAGCUGGUCUGAGAGGACGAUCAGCCACACUGGGACUGAGACACGGCCCAGACUCCUACGGGAGGCAGCAGUGGGGAAUCUUGCGCAAUGCGCGAAAGCGUGACGCAGCAACGCCGCGUGGAGGAAGACGGCCUUCGGGUUGUAAACUCCUUUCAGUUGGGACGAAGCUUCGCCGGUGAAUAGCCGAGCGGAG
This 455-nucleotide ribosomal RNA is filed under the name Rubrobacteridae bacterium Ellin7174. RNAcentral's name for it is "bacterial SSU rRNA". It matches the Rfam family "Bacterial small subunit ribosomal RNA", at positions 28 to 473 of the family's 1533-position model. Lineage: Bacteria; Bacillati; Actinomycetota; Rubrobacteria. The record is from RNAcentral.